AACGAACGCUGGCGGCAGGCCUAACACAUGCAAGUCGAACGCUGUAGCAAUACAGAGUGGCAGACGGGUGAGUAACGCGUGGGAACCUUCCCAGUGGUACGGAAUAGCUCAGGGAAACUUGAGGUAAUACCGUAUAAGCCCCUAGGGGGAAAGAUUUAUCGCCAUUGGAUGGGCCCGCGUCGGAUUAGCUAGUUGGUGGGGUAAUGGCCUACCAAGGCAACGAUCCGUAGCUGGUUUGAGAGAAUGACCAGCCACACCGUGGGACUGAGACACGGCCCAGACUCCGUACGGGUGGCAG
RNAcentral lists this ribosomal RNA (298 nucleotides) under uncultured Pseudomonadota bacterium. RNAcentral's name for it is "uncultured proteobacterium partial 16S ribosomal RNA". It matches the Rfam family "Bacterial small subunit ribosomal RNA", at positions 29 to 351 of the family's 1533-position model. The record is from RNAcentral. Lineage: Bacteria; Pseudomonadati; Pseudomonadota.